This is a long non-coding RNA of Malaclemys terrapin pileata, 1275 nucleotides long. RefSeq lists it as uncharacterized. The record is from RefSeq and is a predicted model, not a curated record. The transcript is spliced from 3 exons. Lineage: Eukaryota; Metazoa; Chordata; Testudines; Emydidae.
CUGAGAUCCCAGGCCCUCUCGGUCAUGAUGCAGUUUCGAUGUACGGAUCUUCAUUUCCUCUCCUAAACCUCUAGUUAACAAAUCUUUAGUUGGUUUAUUAGAGGAUUGGCUACAGGUGCUGUCUUUGUGGAGAGAGAUAAGGUACAACUGACCUGGGGAGAUUGCCACUGAGGAAUGGUGAAAAUCGGGCAAACUGCAAAAAGUUUCAGAGUAACAGCCGUGUUAGUCUGUAUCCGCAAAAAGAAGAACAGGAGUACUUGUGGCACCUUAGAGACUAACAAAUUUAUUAGAACAUAAGCUUUCGUGGACUACAGCCCACUUCUUCGGAUGCAUAUAGAAUACAGAAAAACUUCAAAAACAGACUCCAAAGAGAGACUGCUGAGCUAGAAUUGAUAUGCAAACUAGACACAAUCAACUCCGGUUUGAAUAAGGACUGGGAAUGGCUGAGCCAUUACAAACAUUGACUCUAUCUCCCUGUGACAUUGUGCAGUCUAUAUGGUUUUAUAAAAACUUGAUAAUAAGUCAAUAUAAUGUAACUGAGCUGGUUUUAGAGAAAAUACGGUAAUAAGUGAAUGUAACGUAACUGGGAUAUGCUUCAUGCAAAAGGUCUCUUGUAAGGUAUCAUUACAAAGCUUAUAAUCUACUGAGUAUGAUCAUCUGAUUUGUAUAAAUGUACCACUCUUGUAUCUAAAACUAGAAAUAUAAAAUGUAACUCUGAGGGCCUAUUGUAAUUGUGUAAAGUGUGGACCAUUAAUGAUGGUUUGGAAUCUUGAUGACUCCCAUUGUCUGCAGAUGGCUGUAUUUACCUGUGAGUCUUCCUGUAUAUGUGUGUGCUGGCAAGUGAGUAAUGAAGUCUUGCAGUGACAUGUGAUCAUGUCACCUGAACUGGAAUCCAUCUUUAACCUGGUGCUUUUCCAGUGAGGGGGGGUGGAAACCCAGAGAGACAAAGAGUUCCCGCCUUAUGCAAAAGAUAUAUAAAGGGGGGAAGAGAAGAGAGAGGGAGAGGAGCCAUCAUGAAGAAUCCCCUAGCUACCACCUGAGCUGCAACAAGAGCUGUACCGGGGGAAAGGAUUGUGCCCAGGCCUGGAAGAUGUCCAGCCUGAGAAAAACUUACUGAAGCAUCUCUGAGGGUGAGAUUAUCUGUAUUCAGUUUGAUUAGGCAUAGAUUUGCGCAUUUUAUUUUAUUUUGCUUGGUGACUUACUUUGUUCUGUCUGUUACUACUUUGAACCACUUAAAUCCUACUGUCUGUAUUUAAUAAAAUCACUUUCUAUUUA